This is a transfer RNA of Beauveria bassiana ARSEF 2860, 133 nucleotides long. It matches the Rfam family "tRNA". Rfam says of the family: Transfer RNA (tRNA) molecules are approximately 80 nucleotides in length. Their secondary structure includes four short double-helical elements and three loops (D, anti-codon, and T loops). Lineage: Eukaryota; Fungi; Ascomycota; Sordariomycetes; Hypocreales; Cordycipitaceae. The record is from Rfam.
GCUUUGGUGGCCAAGUGGUAAGGCGUCGCACUUGGUUAGUAGCCCCUGAACAUGCCCGUUUCUAAUAACAAGUCCCAUUCUAACAUCUCCAAAAGUAAUGCGAAGACCGUGGGUUCGAAUCCCAUCCGAAGCA